AUCCUGUGAUGGCUAUUUGCACGUGCCAACUUGACUGGGCCACAGUGCCCUGAUAGUUGGUUAAACUUUAUUCUGGAU
This is a small nucleolar RNA of Suricata suricatta (meerkat), 78 nucleotides long. The record is from Ensembl. NCBI's taxonomy places the organism in Eukaryota, Metazoa, Chordata, Mammalia, Carnivora, Herpestidae.